AGUACAUCUUAAUCAUCCCUAUCUGGGAAGGCGAGUAAAACUAGAUGCGUAGCAUGGCUUGUGUCAUCCCUAUCUGGGAACUCUAGUAAAAAUCUUGUUAUCUCUAGCCAGGAAUUAAGCCCCAUGCCAUUCUCCAGAAUGUCAACAUCUGUUGCUAGGAAGUCUUUCUUCUCCUCUAUGAUGGGCUGUUUUGGGGAGGAAACGUCUUCCCUUUUCGACCCCACUGGUCCUGCCUUCCCAGCCUCAAUCAACUCCAGCUUGUCUGAAAUAGAACAAAUCCAAGGGCUUCCGAGCCAUACACUGAGCCUUGUAAAUUCACAGCUGUGGAGUUUGGUUCUGUCUGUGUGUCAAUCUGUGAAAAGGCGGCCUCCUUUGGAGAGCUGUGGACCGGUCCUACUACUAUUGGCAUCACUGACUGAGGAUUGACAACUAAAUUUGGAUUAUUAUUGUCCAUAUCAAAUGAUGAGUCCAUGACACUGUGAACUUUUGCCACAUCAUUCCAAUGUAUAGCUUGUAUCCAUUCGUCUAUGGAACCUGGUCCGGUGGCAUCUAAAUCAAAAGCACUGUUUGCAUGGUUGCUAUUGUCACUGUUGUUUAGAAACUCGGUGUUUGCGUUUGACAGAAUUUUCUCCAUUUCACUAUGGAUGUCGUGGGAGUCCAUAGACACGGUUUCUAGAAAAUCCAUUUCGGACGGAUUACAAUAUGCCAUGCUUAACAUCGUGUUUCUGACCGCAUCAACUUCAGGCUCAAAC
Molecule: long non-coding RNA, 752 nt
Organism: Ostrea edulis (European flat oyster)
Lineage: Eukaryota; Metazoa; Mollusca; Bivalvia; Ostreida; Ostreidae
Exons: 3
Source: RefSeq, a predicted model, not a curated record